GAGUGGGGAGCUUCGGCUUUUAGCUUGGGCUGGGUAGUGGAGGGGGGAGGCCGGAAAUGAAAUGAGAAAUGGUUCGAAGAUUCAGGAGGAGAAGAAUUUUGGAGGGAAUACGACCAUUUGACAAGUACUAAUUGAGCAUCUAGUAGGUACCAGGCACUGUCCUAGGCACAGAGAAUAAUGGAAGUAAAGGCCUUUAUGGAGCUUGCAUUCUAGUGGGAGAGAAGAGACAACAAAGAAAUAAAAAUUUCAGAAAGUGAUAAGUGGAGUGAAGAAAAAUAAAACCAGGAAUAGGAUGACUUCAUAGAUGGCCAGGUAUUGCCCCUCAGAGGAGCCCUAUAAUCACAUACGCUAUGACAUGAAGGAAUAAGCCUAGCAAAUACCUCGGGAGGGGAGGGGAAACGGAUGGGAGUCUACCAAGCUGAAAGAACCUCGGCUGUACACGCAAAGGACCCGGAGGAGGAUGAGGAGGAUCUAGGCUACAUUCCUGCUGACCCUGACUCGGCCUUAACCAACUGAUGGAUUACCCCUGUCCUCGAGCGUUCUGACUGCCACAGCUUCAGUGGCUAUGCUGAGAAGCCGCCGCUUUUGUAUCCAAAGCGCUGCUGCCCCCAGCUGCACUGCUUGAACAAAUUGCACCGUGAGCAAGCAAAAGCUGCAGCCCAGGAGACUGCUGACGUGACCUCAGAAACGCACAGUCCAGUCCUAUUGCCCAAUGUUUUUGCUCAAGAGCUUUGCCUGUCAUAGCGUUUGGAUUUCUGGUCAUCUUGGUGACCAUAUUGGACCUUCCUUCUCCCUGCUCCCAUCAAGUUUUAAACAGAAACAUCUUUAACAACUCAUCAGUGACCAAUCAAUGAAUUCUAAGCUCUUGGGAGGCUCAGGCUCCUGCUGUUUCUCUCCUCUCCUUACCACAUUUUAUAACAAUUAAAAAAUUAGUCCAGCCACAAUCCGUUACCUGGUUGUACUCUAAGACAAGGAUUUGCCUUCCAAGGGCAGUUCCAAGACAGAAAUGAUUGGAAAAUUAUGUAUGAUUAACUCUCCCAGGAAUCAAAUGACCUCAGUAAAUAUUUUUUGAGACCAUUAGGCCCGAGGGAUGCAAAGACAUUAUCCCUGUCUUCUGUCCAGAGCUUUGGUUUUCUUCUCAAUAAACAAACCUAAGUUUUU
Molecule: long non-coding RNA, 1161 nt
Organism: Bubalus bubalis (water buffalo)
Lineage: Eukaryota; Metazoa; Chordata; Mammalia; Artiodactyla; Bovidae
Exons: 3
Source: RefSeq, a predicted model, not a curated record